CCCUUAGAUGUUCUGGGCCGCACACGCGCUACACUGAAGGAGGCAGCGUGUACUCCUGGAUCGAAAGAUUUGGGUAACCCGCGAAUCUCCUUCGUGCUAGGGAUUGAGGUUUGCAAUUAUCCUUCAUGAACGAGGAAUUCCCAGUAAGUGCAAGUCAUAAGCUUGCGCUGACUACGUCCCUGCCCUUUGUACACACCGCCCGUCGCUACUACCGAUUGAAUGAUUUAGUGAGGACUUCGGACUGGGACCGAUGCGGCUUUCGGGCUGCGUCGGUAUUCUGGAAAGAUGUCCAAACUGUNUNAUAUAGNGGAAGUAAAANUCGUANCA
Molecule: ribosomal RNA, 327 nt
Filed under: uncultured eukaryote
Lineage: Eukaryota
Description: partial 18S ribosomal RNA
Rfam family: Eukaryotic small subunit ribosomal RNA
Source: RNAcentral